GGGGAUUUUUUUUUUUAAUGUAUAAUGAGUAUAAAAGUGUUCAGCCAGAGUAUUUAGCCAAUAUCACCCUUACACUUAUUUUUGGCAGGCGUAGUAGGCCUACAGAAGUUGACAAUUUUCUGAGAAUAUGAUGAUUAUGAUGAUGAAUCCAUUGUGUAAUUCCUGUUUUUUGUGACCUUUUGAUUCUUAACAUGAUGUUCUAGGUUAAGCGAGCUGGACUUGUAAAAGAUGUAGUGAUGUUCUGCCAACAAGAAAAUAUUGCCCCAAUGACUGAUAAUAAUGUGAGAAUCCCCUUAAACGGUGUUUGUGGAAAUGUUGGCAUAUGUUCUUAAGACUAAGGUAAGGAGAGUAAGGUAAUAAUUCAUUACUUUUUAUACUCAAAAAUACAAACAUGGUGACUAUGUCCCUUUACUUCUUGAUUAGAGGUCAUCAUGUAUGUUAAUUUGAUGUAUGGGCUAAAACUAAAUUUUGCCUACAACUCAAGCAUGUAUCUUCAAUAACAAAAUACUCCUACCCCCUUCAGUAUGUGAUAAAGAUGGCAUGCUUCUGCUUACAGAUCAGUAAGGAGUUCCGCCCAAUUAAUGACAUACCGAACACACACCAAAGAUGUUGUCACUGUUCCAUGCAAAAAGAAGAGCUGUGGGCCAAAGGAUCAAGUCACGGAUGCUGCAACGCAUCCAGGACACAACUGUCUCUGUUGAUAAGAGAAGGGAAGCGGUCCUGAGAUGCUUGAUUGAGUACAUUGGGGGCCAUGAAGAGGACCUUAUAAAUGACCAUAAUGUGCAUGCAGUGCUGAUACUGCCGGCAUCGUCAUUGACUGAUACCCAGUCAUCAGAGGUUUGCCCAACUUGGCAAAGGCAUGCUGUCUUCUGUUUGGACUGAUCUAUGCUCUUGAGCUGAAAUAUCCUGCAAAACUGGUGCACACAUAUGAAGUCUUUCAGCAGCUCUUUCUUGCCAUGAAUGUCAUGCCUCCCAAACCAUCACCAAAGUACACUAAUUUGCUGAACAAGCUGAGUUAAAAUUUUAUUUUCAGUUUUGAGAUUUUUUUCUGUACAUUUUCAGCCACAUUGAGAGUGUGAGAUUUGCUUUUGUUGUUUUUACAUUGAUUGCCAUGGUAGUUGGCAGAGUGUUUUGAGAGGACUGCACUGACUUCUCUUUGUUUUGCUGUGUUCAAGUUAGGACAUUUUUGGCCAUGUUUAAGACAAAGCAAAACUUUUAUGAAAUAAGUGUUGUGGCAACGCAGCUGAGCCACUAAACAGUUUCCAGUGUGUGCGUGCCCUCGCUUGGUUGCUCGGUCGGUCGACUGUCUUUUAUCGCUGUGCCAUCUUUGUUAUGCUAAAUUUUGUACAUUAUGGCUAUAUCUAUGCCAGGAAAAAAAUUAAUAAAAAAUAAGAAUAAAAAUAUAAAAAUAAAUAUUUGAAAUGUCUUUUCAGCUUGUUCUUCAUUUAAAAUCGUUGCUUUUCACUGUAUAGUCUAUUUCAAUGUUUUGGUGUGCUUUACAGAGAACGAAAGCGAUCUCAUCUGUCAGAAAACAAAACAGUUAAAUUCUCUCGGAGUAAUGAAGCUCCAGGCUGCUUAUAUGAACUAAACACCAUAAAAAAUGUAUUAUCUGAAUAAAGAACUAAAAAACAAAAUAAAUGAAUAUUUUACCAUCACUUACGUUCUCUUUAAUGAUAAAUUUUACAGUAGAAUUGUUUAAUUGAGAUGAAUGUACUUCUGGCGAAUAACCAGAAGUACAUGAAUCUCAAUUAAGGCCUAUUUAAGUAUAUUGAAAAUUAUUGUAUUACUUUACAUGAGCUCAAAAAAAUUGAGUUAAACCAAUACUACUGAUAAUGCCUAGUUGGCCCAAUCAAGAAAAUUGAGUUCAUUAAACGCAUAAAAAUCCAGUUGAUUUAAACCAAUACCACUGCAAAUCCCUAGUUGGAUAAACUUAAUUUUCUUGAUUGAUCCAACUAGGCAUUAUCAGUAGUAUUGUUUUAACUCAACUUAAUUUUUAUGAGCUCAUGUAAAGUAUUAAAAUCAUUUUCAUUCUACCUAAAAAAGGCUUGAAGUUUACUCAACUUAAAA
This is a long non-coding RNA of Corythoichthys intestinalis (scribbled pipefish), 2067 nucleotides long. RefSeq lists it as uncharacterized. The record is from RefSeq and is a predicted model, not a curated record. The transcript has 3 exons. NCBI's taxonomy places the organism in Eukaryota, Metazoa, Chordata, Actinopteri, Syngnathiformes, Syngnathidae.